This 225-nucleotide unclassified non-coding RNA is filed under the name plant metagenome. RNAcentral describes it as "partial contains 5.8S ribosomal RNA, internal transcribed spacer 2, and large subunit ribosomal RNA". The record is from RNAcentral.
AAAAGCUCCUCUUCAUCCUCGAUCAGAAGAAUGGUCCGGCCUUGCAUCAAGCCGAUGCUACGCAAGGUGCGGAGAUUUGGCAUCGAAAAACCGGAUGCGUUUCAAUCGAUCGUAUACAUCUCGAUCGUGUCGCUGAAGAAUCCGGGGAUCACGAUUUCCGGCUUCCCGUCGCCGUCCCAGUCGCCAUAGCUCGGCCGUUCGUCGAUGUCCCGGGCGCCGAGUGAU